Molecule: ribosomal RNA, 464 nt
Filed under: Vreelandella stevensii
Lineage: Bacteria; Pseudomonadati; Pseudomonadota; Gammaproteobacteria; Oceanospirillales; Halomonadaceae
Description: partial 16S ribosomal RNA
Rfam family: Bacterial small subunit ribosomal RNA
Source: RNAcentral
CCUACGGGUGGCUGCAGUGGGGAAUAUUGGACAAUGGGCGAAAGCCUGAUCCAGCCAUGCCGCGUGUGUGAAGAAGGCCUUCGGGUUGUAAAGCACUUUCAGUGGGGAAGAAAGCCUUGGGGCUAAUACCCUCGAGGAAGGACAUCACCCACAGAAGAAGCACCGGCUAACUCCGUGCCAGCAGCCGCGGUAAUACGGAGGGUGCGAGCGUUAAUCGGAAUUACUGGGCGUAAAGCGCGCGUAGGCGGUCUGAUAAGCCGGUUGUGAAAGCCCCGGGCUCAACCUGGGAACGGCAUCCGGAACUGUCAGGCUAGAGUGCAGGAGAGGAAGGUAGAAUUCCCGGUGUAGCGGUGAAAUGCGUAGAGAUCGGGAGGAAUACCAGUGGCGAAGGCGGCCUUCUGGACUGACACUGACGCUGAGGUGCGAAAGCGUGGGUAGCAAACAGGAUUAGAUACCCCGGUAGU